RNAcentral lists this ribosomal RNA (1019 nucleotides) under uncultured crenarchaeote. RNAcentral's name for it is "bacterial SSU rRNA". It matches the Rfam family "Archaeal small subunit ribosomal RNA", at positions 326 to 1346 of the family's 1478-position model. Lineage: Archaea; Thermoproteati; Thermoproteota. The record is from RNAcentral.
CGGGGCGCAGCAGGCGCGAAACCUCUGCAAUAGGCGAAAGCUUGACAGGGUUACUCUGAGUGAUUUCCGUUAAGGAGAUCUUUUGGCACCUCUAAAAAUGGUGCAGAAUAAGGGGUGGGCAGGUCUGGUGUCAGCCGCCGCGGUAAUACCAGCACCCCGAGUGGUCGGGACGUUUAUUGGGCCUAAAGCAUCCGUAGCCGGUUCUACAAGUCUUCCGUUAAAUCCACCUGCUUAACAGAUGGGCUGCGGAAGAUACUAUAGAGCUAGGAGGCGGGAGAGGCAAGCGGUACUCGAUGGGUAGGGGUAAAAUCCGUUGAUCCAUUGAAGACCACCAGUGGCGAAGGCGGCUUGCCAGAACGCGCUCGACGGUGAGGGAUGAAAGCUGGGGGAGCAAACCGGAUUAGAUACCCGGGUAGUCCCAGCUGUAAACGAUGCAGACUCGGUGAUGAGUUGGCUUAUUGCUAACUCAGUGCCGCAGGGAAGCCGUUAAGUUUGCCGCCUGGGGAGUACGGUCGCAAGACUGAAACUUAAAGGAAUUGGCGGGGGAGCACCACAAGGGGUGAAGCCUGCGGUUCAAUUGGAGUCAACGCCGGAAAUCUUACCGGGGGCGACAGCAGAGUGAAGGCCAAGCUGAAGACUUUACCAGACAAGCUGAGAGGAGGUGCAUGGCCGUCGCCAGCUCGUGCCGUGAGGUGUCCUGUUAAGUCAGGUAACGAGCGAGAUCCCUGCCUGUAGUUGCUACCAUUAUUCUCAGGAGUAGUGGAGCUAAUUAGAGGGACCGCCGUCGCUGAGACGGAGGAAGGUGGGGGCUACGGCAGGUCAGUAUGCCCCGAAACCCUCGGGCCACACGCGGGCUGCAAUGGUAAGGACAAUGAGUUUCGAUUCCGAAAGGAGGAGGCAAUCUCUAAACCUUACCACAGUUAUGAUUGAGGGCUGAAACUCGCCCUCAUGAAUAUGGAAUCCCUAGUAACCGCGUGUCACUAUCGCGCGGUGAAUACGUCCCUGCUCCUUGCACACAA